GUAGGUGAACCUGCGGAAGGAUCAUUACAGUUAUUACUUUCUACCAGCGCUUAAUUGCGCGGUGGAAAAUAACCCAUACACACAGUGUUUUUUGUUUAUUACAAGAACUAUUGCUUUGGCUUGGCGCAAGUCGGGCCAGAGGUUACUACGUAAACUUCAAUUUUUAAUUGAAUUGUUAUUUUAAUACAGUUGUCAAUUUGUUUGAUUAAAUUCAAAAAUAAUCUUCAAAACGUUCAACAACGGAUCUCUUGGUUCUC
RNAcentral lists this unclassified non-coding RNA (257 nucleotides) under rhizosphere metagenome. Its description in RNAcentral is "partial ribosomal RNA internal transcribed spacer region". The record is from RNAcentral.